Molecule: long non-coding RNA, 543 nt
Organism: Haliotis rubra (blacklip abalone)
Lineage: Eukaryota; Metazoa; Mollusca; Gastropoda; Lepetellida; Haliotidae
Exons: 3
Source: RefSeq, a predicted model, not a curated record
GGUUGAAUGUAACAAUCAUACCCUGCAUACACACAGGUGAGUGGUUGAAUGAAACAGUCAUAUCCUGCAUAAACACAGGUGAGUGGUUGAAUAACAGUCAUACCCUGCAUACCCACAGGUGAGUGGUUGAAUGUAACAAUCAUCCCCUGCAUACACACAGGUGAGUGGUUGAAUGAAACAGUCAUAUCCUGCAUAAACACAGGUGAGUAUGUGAAUAACAGUCAUACCCUGCAUACCCACAUGUGAGUGGUUGAAUGCAGCAAUCAUACCCUGCAUACCCACAGGUGAGUGGUUGAAUGUAAGCAAUCAUACCCUGCAUACACACAGGUGAGUGGUUGAAUGCAGCAAUCAUACCCUGCAUACACACAGGUGAGUGGUUGAAUGUAACAGUCAUACACUGCAUACACACAAGUGAGUGGUUGAAUGCAGCAAUCAUACCCUGCAUACACACAGGUGAGUGGUUGAAUGUAACAAUCAUACCCUGCAUACACACAAGUGAGUGGUUGAAUGCAACAAUCAUACCCUGCAUACACACAAGUGAGU